Molecule: ribosomal RNA, 459 nt
Filed under: uncultured bacterium
Lineage: Bacteria
Description: bacterial SSU rRNA
Rfam family: Bacterial small subunit ribosomal RNA
Source: RNAcentral
AACGAACGCUGGCGGCAUGCCUAACACAUGCAAGUCGAACGAGACCUUCGGGUCUAGUGGCGCACGGGUGCGUAACGCGUGGGAACCUGCCUUUAGGUUCGGAAUAACUCAGAGAAAUUUGAGCUAAUACCGGAUGAUGUCUUCGGACCAAAGAUUUAUCGCCUUUAGAUGGGCCCGCGUAAGAUUAGCUAGUUGGUGGGUAAAGGCCUACCAAGGCGACGAUCCAUAGCUGGUCUGAGAGGAUGAUCAGCCACACUGGGACUGAGACACGGCCCAGACUCCUACGGAGGCAGCAGUGGGGAAUAUUGGACAAUGGGCGAAAGACCUGAUCCAGCAAUGCCGCGUGAGUGAUGAAGGCCUUAGGGUUGUAAAGCUCUUUUACCCGAGAUGAUAAUGACAGUAUCGGGAGAAUAAGCUCCGGCUAACUCCGUGCCAGCAGCCGCGGUAAAGUGACUACUG